CCUACGGGAGGCUGCAGUGGGGAAUAUUGCACAAUGGGGGAAACCCUGAUGCAGCGACGCCGCGUGAGUGAAGAAGUAUUUCGGUAUGUAAAGCUCUAUCAGCAGGGAAGAAAAUGACGGUACCUGAUUAAGAAGCCCCGGCUAACUACGUGCCAGCAGCCGCGGUAAUACGUAGGGGGCAAGCGUUAUCCGGAUUUACUGGGUGUAAAGGGGGCGUAGACGGCAGCACAAGUCUGGAGUGAAAUGCCGGGGCUUAACCCCGGAACUGCUUUGGAAACUGUGCAGCUAGAGUGCAGGAGGGGUAGGUGGAAUUCCUAGUGUAGCGGUGAAAUGCGUAGAUAUUAGGAGGAACACCAGUGGCGAAGGCGGCUUACUGGACUGUAACUGACGUUGAGGCUCGAAAGCGUGGGGAGCAAACAGGAUUAGAUACCCGUGUAGUC
This 440-nucleotide ribosomal RNA is filed under the name uncultured bacterium. RNAcentral's name for it is "partial 16S ribosomal RNA". It matches the Rfam family "Bacterial small subunit ribosomal RNA", at positions 338 to 795 of the family's 1533-position model. The record is from RNAcentral.